This 210-nucleotide ribosomal RNA is filed under the name Triticum aestivum (bread wheat). RNAcentral's name for it is "partial small subunit ribosomal RNA". The record is from RNAcentral. Lineage: Eukaryota; Viridiplantae; Streptophyta; Magnoliopsida; Poales; Poaceae.
AUGAUUACCCAAGAAUUGGAGGUGGGAAGGCCUAAUAGGUCUGGUUGUUUCUCUUUCAUCAGCGACGUAAAAAAUGAGCUGCAGGUUUUCAGCCCCGUCCUCAUCUACUCCAUCCCUAGGGGAAAAAACAAACUGGCACAUGAGCUGGCUGCUCGAGCGAGACGAGAUCGUUCAUCUUUGCUGAUGUAUCGAGGCAACUCUGCACUCUGA